AUGGCCGCUCCAUCUAUGUCUGCCCACAUUCCCAUCUUUGUGAUAGUCCUACUCUCGGCCGUCUCCUGUUCUUAUCCCAGCCUGACCAACCGCAACGGUAGUGAAACUGAUCUCGCCGCGCUUCUGGCUUUGAAAGCGCAGCUCGCCGACCCUCUCCGCAUCCUUGCCGACAACUGGACAACCGGCACAUCUUUCUGCCACUGGGUCGGUGUCUCAUGCAGCCUGCGCCGACAACGUGUCACUGCUCUAUCAUUGGUGGAUACGCGUCUCGUUGGCUCUCUGGCACCUCACAUCGGUAACCUCUCUUUCCUUUCCAUCCUUAACCUCACCCGCAACAAUCUGAUGGGCUCCAUUCCAGUGGAACUUGGUAGGUUACAUCGUCUUAGGUAUCUCGAUCUCAUGAGAAAUAGGUUUUCUGACGCCAUACCUACUACCCUUGGGAACCUCACAAGGCUUGUGCGCCUUCGUCUAGGUUACAAUGAACUCUCGGGCCAGAUCCGUCCUGGGAUGUUAAUCCGUAUGCACAACCUUAAAGAAAUUGUCCUGCACCAAAAUGAAUUAGGUGGCCAAAUACCGUUGUAUUUGUUCAACAAUACACCUUCUUUGGCAGUCAUCCAUCUUGGAAAUAACAGCCUGUCGGGUCCAAUACCAACUGCUCUUGCAUCCCUAUCCAUGCUUGAGGUCUUCAGUGUACAGCAUAAUCAACUCUCCGGUCUACUCCCACAAGCCAUGUUCAACAUGUCUAAGCUUCGAGUAAUGGCAUUCGAAGACUGCGGUAACCUAACUGGAAUGAUUCCGACCAAUCAAAGUUUUAGCCUCCCAAUGUUGCAAUUUUUUACACUAGCUGGGAACAAAUUUGCAGGGCGGUUUCCAAUAGGGUUUGCAUCAUGUCAAUACCUGCAAGCACUUGAUUUGAGUCGUAACUCUUUUGUGGAUGUUGUGCCAACAUGGUUAGCCAAAUUGUCACAACUAAAAAAGCUUUUAUUGGGUUCUAAUAACCUUACCGGAUUCAUCCCAGUUGCUCUUAGCAAUCUCACUAGUCUUAGUAUGCUAGCACUCGACAACGGUAAUCUCAAAGGGGAGAUUCCACAUGAAUUAGGUCUUAUACAUGAACUCUGGUAUCUUAAUCUUGGCCAGAAUCAAUUGACAGGUAAAAUUCCUGAUUCCCUUGGCAACUUAUCAAAAUUAUCAACCCUAGGUUUGUAUCGUAAUCAAUUGUCUGGCCAAGUACCAACAACAUUUGAAAAAAUCGUACAUUUAAACAAGCUUGUGUUGAACCACAAUAAUUUAACGGGAAAUCUAGACUUCUUGUCAGCUCUUUCCAAGUGUAGACAACUCCAAAUCCUUGAUAUGUCGUCUAAUUCUUUCACAGGUAUCCUCCCUGGCUAUGUGGGAAACAUUAGUACACAAUUAAGCAUGUUCAUUGCACAUAGUAACAAGUUAACAGGUGGACUUCCGUUAGCGAUUUCAAACCUAAGCAACAUUUAUCUGAUAGAUAUUAGCAACAACCUAUUCGUCGAGCCAUCCCAGAAUCCAUCAUUAUGUUGGAAAAUCUUGUACAUCUUGAUCUCUCCCACAAUGAUAUGGCAGGCACUAUCCCAACACAAAUGGGUAUGCUCAUGA
Molecule: ribosomal RNA, 1623 nt
Filed under: Triticum aestivum (bread wheat)
Lineage: Eukaryota; Viridiplantae; Streptophyta; Magnoliopsida; Poales; Poaceae
Description: partial small subunit ribosomal RNA
Source: RNAcentral